RNAcentral lists this ribosomal RNA (428 nucleotides) under uncultured bacterium. RNAcentral's name for it is "bacterial SSU rRNA". It matches the Rfam family "Bacterial small subunit ribosomal RNA", at positions 917 to 1349 of the family's 1533-position model. The record is from RNAcentral.
GGACCCGCACAAGCGGUGGAUGAUGUGGAUUAAUUCGAUGCAACGCGAAAAACCUUACCUACCCUUGACAUGUCAGGAAUUUUGCAGAGAUGCGAAAGUGCUCGAAAGAGAACCUGAACACAGGUGCUGCAUGGCUGUCGUCAGCUCGUGUCGUGAGAUGUUGGGUUAAGUCCCGCAACGAGCGCAACCCUUGUCAUUAGUUGCUACGCAAGGGCACUCUAAUGAGACUGCCGGUGACAAACCGGAGGAAGGUGGGGACGACGUCAAGUCCUCAUGGCCCUUAUGGGUAGGGCUUCACACGUCAUACAAUGGUUGGUACAGAGGGUUGCAAACCCGCGAGGGGAAGCUAAUCUCAAAAAACCAAUCGUAGUCCGGAUUGCAGUCUGCAACUCGACUGCAUGAAGUCGGAAUCGCUAGUAAUCGCGGAU